This is a long non-coding RNA of Canis lupus familiaris (dog), 1030 nucleotides long. RefSeq lists it as uncharacterized. The record is from RefSeq and is a predicted model, not a curated record. The transcript is spliced from 3 exons. NCBI's taxonomy places the organism in Eukaryota, Metazoa, Chordata, Mammalia, Carnivora, Canidae.
CCCACAGCAGCUGCAUCACCAGCAGUGCCUCCAGGCAGAGAGGCAGGGGCCCCCCUGUGGCCUCCCAGAGAGCCAGGCUCCAUAAGAUCCAGUCUGUAUUCAAAACCUGGUUCUGGCAACUCUUCCACUGGCGAUCAUUCCCAACCUGUGCUUUCUGAUGAGCACGCUCUGGAGCCUCACGUGACCACUGGCAGUCCCACCGAUGGGUACUGCGUAGUCACCUGAAAUUCAUCUGCAGCUCAAGAAAUGUACAGCAUAUCUCUUUCCAUGCAAGACACAAGAUAGCAAAGAUACCCUGACAUUUUGAAAAGGAGAGCUCAGAGGGCUGGGGGGAGGCUGCAGAAAUUGCUUAGUUCUCUGGAAUCAAUUGUUGGCCAGCCCACGACUGCACAUGGUUAUUAGAAGAAGCUGAACUGGGGGCACAUACCCUUUCCCCACCUCGCAGAUGCCGCCUCACAUUGUACCCGGAGCACCGCCAGGGUGCCCGAUUCCCCGACUUCCACCCACAUCUCAGCAACGAAUUUAAAUCGUUCUGCUCCUUUCUCAUCCAGUACGUUGCUAAGUUACGGAAGAUAAUUAGGAACAGGUUUGGGAGCUCAUUACAAUUCCAGUCACGGUGCUCUCUCUCUGCCCCCCUCUUUUUCUGAGGAGCAGGAGGAAAAUACUCACUGAGCCCAGCCUUGGCUCGUAGAGCAGGUAACGCAGGUGCUGGGCAGGGUGCAGCGGGCUCUUGCAAGCUGCACCGAUGAAUACGGGAUGCGGAAAUCCAGAAACAUGUCAUUGGACACCCCCCCCCCCAACACCUGCUUUGAGGAAAAUGUCAGAAAAGCACCUGGCCUCUAGAUGGGGAUUGCUGGCGCCCAGGGACAAGGGAUGGAGCAGCCCGGAAAUGAGCAGUUAAAACUUUAGAAUUGGAAAGUAGCAGGCGGAAUCCGUCUAAUCACCGUUUGGCUGAACGUGGUACUUCAAACCGGUGAGCGCAGCCUUUGUGUCCGAAGACGGACUCCCCCCCCCGGACUCCCCAGCAACC